GACGAACGCUGGCGGCGUGCUUAACACAUGCAAGUCGAGCGGUAAGGCCCUUUCGGGGGUACACGAGGCGGCGAACGGGUGAGUAACACGUGGGUGACCUGCCUUUAGCUCUGGGAUAAGCCUGGGAAACCGGGUCUAAUACCGGAUAUGACUCCGCGGCGCAUGUUGUGGGGUGGAAAGCCUUGUGCGGCUGGAGAUGGGCCCGCGGCCUAUCAGCUUGUUGGUGGGGUGAUGGCCUACCGAAGGCGACGACGGUAGCCGGCCUGAGAGGCGACCGGCCACACUGGGACUGAGACACGGCCCAGACUCCUACGGGAGGCAGCAGUGGGGAAUCUUGCGCAAUGGGCGAAAGCCUGACGCAGCGACGCCGCGUGAGGGAUGACGGCCUCGGUUGUAA
This 397-nucleotide ribosomal RNA is filed under the name uncultured bacterium. Its description in RNAcentral is "bacterial SSU rRNA". It matches the Rfam family "Bacterial small subunit ribosomal RNA", at positions 28 to 428 of the family's 1533-position model. The record is from RNAcentral.